AGAUAAUAUAGAAGACAGCGCUAGCGUAUCCAGUCUGUAUGUAUCUAUGGUCUGCACGUCUGGUAGCAUCUGUGGCUGCUGUUGAUCUUGUUUUUGGAGUAAAACACGGUGGAAGCUGAAUUAGUGAGGAUGACUCCUGCUCCUGUCAUCUCUAAGCUCCUCCCACAUCUUUACCUGCACAUGAGGAAAAUCACUCCUGUAGAAUGCAGAUGUUCAGAGGGAGAUGAUGCCACAUCUGGUCCAGCCGAUGGAAGGUCUUGAAGUUCUCUGACUGGCCUCGACUGAAGAUGGUCGUCUCACUGGAUUUAAGAUGCACGAGGGACGUCUGCAGAGACUGAGAAAGAGUCUCACCACAUCCUGACAUGAGGAAAAAGACUUUAUUAAAGACUACAAUGAGAAAAACUAGCAGACGGCUGCAUUCAAGUUUAGGCUGUUAGAUUGUUCCAGAUAAGACAAGUACAAGAUUCUUCAGAGCCAUUCUACCACGAGCCUGAGAGGAAGAACUCCAACAGCUACUGAAUGUUCCUGUGGUUCCCUCAAGGCUACAGGAGGAGCCCUACGAGGACGAGCUGAUCCACCUGAUGGAGGCCAGUCGCUGUGGUUCAAAGCCAACACCGUCUACGUGGACUUUUACUGGACCACACGGAGGCCUUCAAACCGGACCAACAAGUUCAGCGACUCCCCGACUCGUGGGUCUGAGGACGCCACCAAGCCUCGGUCCAGCCGGCCUCCUGUCUGUGGGUGUUUGAGUGCUGAGAGGAUUACCACAGACCUGACCGUGAACACCGUUGACACCCACCUGAGGGACACGCUGCCUAAGAUCUCAAGGCUGCUUGGUCAUGGUCUUUCUGGUCCUGCUCCAGAACGCCUUCAUCAACUACGUCUUCUUUUGAAGAGGCCCUCAGAUGCUGCAAUCUCUGACCUUAAGGAGGAACUGCUACUUUCACUCUGUAACGAGACGGCAGUUAUUUUAAAGACCCAGCUCCUGUCGGCUUUGAAUGAAAGUUUAAUACCCAUCAAAACAUAAGUACAGACAGUUAAAUCUGAGCUGUCGGUCAGUAUUUCAAACGUCAAGUCUGACCGGGCUGCACUAAAGCACGCUAUGAGUGAAACGGAAACUUCACUCUCCACAUCACCGACGACAUCGUCACACUCCAAAGCAGAGCACCAAUCUGUUGAAUUUUUAAAAGUGGACUAUAAAUGUGAAGAAUGUGAGCAGCAGCAGACUGUGAGCAGUGGAACAGAUGUGAUCAGAAAGAAGUCAUUUUCUUUUUUAUUUUCUUUCUGGUUGACUUGAUGCUGUCAGAUGGAGCUGAUUCUGAUCUUUGAGGAUAAAAAGCUGUUUUUCCUUCACAGACUUUUCAGGAAAUUAUUCUCUCAGGUUUUCUCUGCUAUUUAUAUUUUUAUUAUCUGUGAUUAUUUCAUUAUUUCUUUAUUGUAAAAAUAAAGUUUGAGGUAUAAAGACUCAUUUAGUUAUUUUAAUCCUGAAAUCUUUGAUGUAGCAGAACUAAACUUCCAUUUUCCUUCUUGUACUUCUGAUACUAGAACUAAACGUAUCUUCAGCACGGAUCAUCUGCUUUUAAUGAAUCAGCAGCAACAUCACAACAACAAAUGAGACAAUUUUCAACAAAUUAAUUAAACUGA
Long non-coding RNA from Amphiprion ocellaris (clown anemonefish), 1644 nucleotides. The record is from Ensembl. NCBI's taxonomy places the organism in Eukaryota, Metazoa, Chordata, Actinopteri, Pomacentridae.